UACGACAGAGCCUGGAUUCGAACCAGGAUCUCUAGUGGCUUAGACCACUGCGCCACUCGGGAGACAUUAAUGGAUUGUGUUGUGCGGUAAGCAGGCUCAGGUGUAUAACUGUUGCUCCUUCCACCUUCAAAGAAUAGGCAAGAGGACCAACCAUUGAAAAUAGUAAGACACUUCAUUAUUUCUAUUACUACGCUAUAUUGUUUGUCCUCAUGUGUCUGUGCAUGUAUCUCAGUAUAAAGUACUCUGCAGCCACUUAGUGUGGACACCAGGUGAGACCACACACACAGAUUCCUGUCUUUAACUACCUUAUUUUCUCAAUAACAGUCUCAUUCCUUCACUUCAUUCCUCUCCCCCCUUCUCCUUAAAUCCUCUAGGUUAUAUCACCUGUGUCGGUGAACCCCUCGCGCAUCUGAACUGGCUGACACAGAGGGCACAGCAUAAUCAGAGGUAUGUUUUGAUGUGAGAGAAGGUGCCAAACCCCAGUCCCGUCAUCACCAUCUCACCCGCUCUUAAGAUAACCUUCAGGCCAACUGGGGGGCCAAGGCUGUAAGGAGACACCGCUAGAGACACUAUUAUGUAAUUAUGAUGAACUAAGAAAAUAUUAGGGUAGCACUGUAAUUCAUUAAUCAUAUGCUGUCUUCCCUAUUUCCCUUUGUCUUUUACACUCUUUCUUACACCUCUCUACCCACCUCUUUCUUCCUGUUUUUAUAAUGCACACCAGAUGUGUAUUGAAGUACAGAUUGAACUUGUAUUUAGAAUAUAAUAUUACAAUUAUAAGAUUUAUAAUGCAUGUAUUAUGUUUUUAUAAUACUUGGAUAAUUCACUUCUUUCAAUAAAGCGUUUCACAUUC
Molecule: long non-coding RNA, 850 nt
Organism: Coregonus clupeaformis (lake whitefish)
Lineage: Eukaryota; Metazoa; Chordata; Actinopteri; Salmoniformes; Salmonidae
Exons: 2
Source: RefSeq, a predicted model, not a curated record